AGAGUUUGAUCCUGGCUCAGAUUGAACGCUGGCGGCGUGCCUAACACAUGCAAGUCGAGCGGUAACAGGUGUAGCAAUACAUGCUGACGAGCGGCGGACGGGUGAGUAACGCUUGGGAAUCUGCCUAUUAGUGGGGGACAACCCGGGGAAACUCGGGCUAAUACCGCAUACGCUCUACGGAGGAAAGCCGGGGACCGCAAGGCCUGGCGCUAAUAGAUGAGCCCAAGUCGGAUUAGCUAGUUGGUAGGGUAAUGGCCUACCAAGGCUACGAUCCGUAACUGGUCUGAGAGGACGACCAGUCACACCGGAACUGAGACACGGUCCGGACUCCUACGGGAGGCAGCAGUGGGGAAUAUUGGACAAUGGGCGAAAGCCUGAUCCAGCGACGCCGCGUGGGUGAAGAAGGCCUGCGGGUUGUAAAGCCCUUUCAGUGGGGAAGAAAAGCCUCGACCUAACACGUCGGGGUCUUGACGUAACCCAUAGAAGAAGCACCGGCUAACUNUGNGCCAGCCGCCGCGGUAAUUC
RNAcentral lists this ribosomal RNA (525 nucleotides) under uncultured soil bacterium. Its description in RNAcentral is "bacterial SSU rRNA". It matches the Rfam family "Bacterial small subunit ribosomal RNA", at positions 8 to 526 of the family's 1533-position model. The record is from RNAcentral.